UACGUAGGGGGCAAGCGUUGUCCGGAAUCAUUGGGCGUAAAGCGCGUGUAGGCGGUUACGUAAGUCUGCUGUGAAAGUCGGAGGCUCAACCUUCGAAUGCCAGUGGAAACUACGUGACUAGAGUACGGAAGAGGAGAGUGGAAUUCCUGGUGUAGCGGUGAAAUGCGCAGAUAUCAGGAGGAACACCAACGGCGAAGGCAGCUCUCUGGGACGUUACUGACGCUGAGACGCGAAAGCGUGGGGAGCAAAC
This 250-nucleotide ribosomal RNA is filed under the name uncultured bacterium. RNAcentral's name for it is "partial 16S ribosomal RNA". It matches the Rfam family "Bacterial small subunit ribosomal RNA", at positions 524 to 773 of the family's 1533-position model. The record is from RNAcentral.